AACGCACAUUGCGCCCUUUGGUAUUCCAAAGGGCAUGCCUGUUCGAGCGUCAUUUGUACCCUCAAGCUUUGCUUGGUGUUGGGCGUUUUUGUCUAGCGGGGGGCUCUUGUCCCCCCAAGACUCGCCUUAAAACGAUUGGCAGCCGGCCUCCUGGUUACGCAGCGCAGCACAUUUUUGCGCUUGCCACCAGCAACAGAGGACGGCACUCCAUCAAGACUCCUUCUCACGUUUGACCUCGGAUCAGGUAGGGAUACCCGCUGAACUUAA
Molecule: unclassified non-coding RNA, 267 nt
Filed under: uncultured Pleosporales
Lineage: Eukaryota; Fungi; Ascomycota; Dothideomycetes; Pleosporales
Description: sequence contains 5.8S rRNA gene, ITS2, 28S rRNA gene
Rfam family: 5.8S ribosomal RNA (bases 1-52)
Source: RNAcentral